CAGGCCUAACACAUGCAAGUCGAACGGUAACAGGGAUUGCUUGCAAUCCGCUGACGAGUGGCGCACGGGUGCGUAACGCGUAUAGAACCUACCCUUUACAGGGGGAUAGCCCGGAGAAAUUCGGAUUAAUACCCCAUAGUACUACGGAGAGGCAUCUUUUUGUGGUUAAAGUAUUACGGUAAAGGAUGGCUAUGCGUCCUAUUAGUUCGUAGGUGAGGUAACGGCUCACCUAGACUUCGAUAGGUAGGGGCCCUGAGAGGGGGAUCCCCCACACUGGUACUGAGACACGGACCAGACUCCUACGGGAGGCAGCAGUGAGGAAUAUUGGACAAUGGUCGGGAGACUGAUCCAGCCAUGCCGCGUGCAGGAAGACUGCCCUAUGGGUUGUAAACUGCUUUUUUACGGGAAGAAUAAUACCCACGUGUGGGUAGAUGACGGUACCGUAGGAAUAAGGACCGGCUAACUCCGUGCCAGCAGCCGCGGUAAUACGGAGGGUCCGAGCGUUAUCCGGAAUUAUUGGGUUUAAAGGGUCCGCAGGCGGGCCAGUAAGUCAGGGGUGAAAGUUUGCGGCUUAACCGUAAAAUUGCCUUUGAUACUGCUGGUCUUGAGUUGCGGUGAAGUGGCCGGAAUAUGUGGUGUAGCGGUGAAAUGCAUAGAUAUCACAUAGAACACCGAUUGCGAAGGCAGGUCACUAACCGCCGACUGACGCUGAUGGACGAAAGCGUGGGGAGCGAACGGGAUUAGAUACCCCGGUAGUCCACGCCGUAAACGAUGGACACUAGCUGUCGGGCCUUUUUGGUUCGGCGGCCCAGCGAAAGUGAUAAGUGUCCCACCUGGGGAGUACGUCGGCAACGAUGAAACUCAAAGGAAUUGACGGGGGCCCGCACAAGCGGUGGAGCAUGUGGUUUAAUUCGAUGAUACGCGAGGAACCUUACCAGGGCUUAAAUGUAGUGUGACAGGGGUAGAGAUACCUUUUUCUUCGGACACAUUACAAGGUGCUGCAUGGGUUGUCGUCAGCUCGUGCCGUGAGGUGUCAGGUUAAGUCCUAUAACGA
RNAcentral lists this ribosomal RNA (1054 nucleotides) under uncultured bacterium. Its description in RNAcentral is "bacterial SSU rRNA". It matches the Rfam family "Bacterial small subunit ribosomal RNA", at positions 43 to 1095 of the family's 1533-position model. The record is from RNAcentral.